RNAcentral lists this unclassified non-coding RNA (28 nucleotides) under Mus musculus (house mouse). RNAcentral's name for it is "piRNA piR-mmu-68213146". Lineage: Eukaryota; Metazoa; Chordata; Mammalia; Rodentia; Muridae. The record is from RNAcentral.
UGGGUUCUAUAAGAGAGCAGGCUGAACC